GACGAACGCUGGCGGCGUGCUUAACACAUGCAAGUCGAACGGAAAGGCCCCUUUUGGGGUACUCGAGUGGCGAACGGGUGAGUAACACGUGAGUAACCUGCCCUUGACUUCGGGAUAACUUCAGGAAACUGGGGCUAAUACCGGCUAGGAAUCCUUUCUGCAUGGUGGGGGUUGGAAAGCUUCGGCGGUUUUGGAUGGACUCGCGGCUUAUCAGCUUGUUGGUGGGGUAGUGGCUUACCAAGGCUUUGACGGGUAGCCGGCCUGAGAGGGCGACCGGCCACAUUGGGACUGAGAUACGGCCCAGAAUCCUAAGGGAGGCAGCAGUGGGGAAUAUUGCACAAUGGGCGGAAGCCUGAUGCAGCAAAGCCGCGUGCGGGAUGACGGCCUUCGGGUUGGAAACCGCUUUCAGCAGGGGAGAAGCUUGUGGUGACGGUACCUGCAGAAGAAGCACCGGCUAACUACGUG
This 465-nucleotide ribosomal RNA is filed under the name uncultured bacterium. Its description in RNAcentral is "partial 16S ribosomal RNA". It matches the Rfam family "Bacterial small subunit ribosomal RNA", at positions 28 to 507 of the family's 1533-position model. The record is from RNAcentral.